GACGAACGCUGGCGGCGUGCCUAAUACAUGCAAGUAGAACGCUGAAGGAGGAGCUUGCUUCUCCGGAUGAGUUGCGAACGGGUGAGUAACGCGUAGGUAACCUGCCUGGUAGCGGGGGAUAACUAUUGGAAACGAUAGCUAAUACCGCAUAAGAGUAGAUGUCGCAUGACAUUUGCUUAAAAGGUGCAACUGCACCACUACCAGAUGGACCUGCGUUGUAUUAGCUAGUUGGUGAGGUAACGGCUCACCAAGGCAACGAUACAUAGCCGACCUGAGAGGGUGAUCGGCCACACUGGGACUGAGACACGGCCCAGACUCCUACGGGAGGCAGCAGUAGGGAAUCUUCGGCAAUGGACGGAAGUCUGACCGAGCAACGCCGCGUGAGUGAAGAAGGUUUUCGGAUCGUAAAGCUCUGUUGUAAGAGAAGAACGAGUGUGAGAGUGGAAAGUUCACACUGUGACGUUAUCUUACCAGAAAGGGACGGCUAACUACGUG
Molecule: ribosomal RNA, 495 nt
Filed under: uncultured bacterium
Lineage: Bacteria
Description: partial 16S ribosomal RNA
Rfam family: Bacterial small subunit ribosomal RNA
Source: RNAcentral